RNAcentral lists this ribosomal RNA (253 nucleotides) under uncultured bacterium. RNAcentral describes it as "partial 16S ribosomal RNA". It matches the Rfam family "Bacterial small subunit ribosomal RNA", at positions 524 to 776 of the family's 1533-position model. The record is from RNAcentral.
UACAGAGGGUGCAAGCGUUAAUCGGAAUUACUGGGCGUAAAGGGGGCGUAGGCGGCGCGGUAAGUCGGGUGUGAAAUCUCGGAGCUUAACUCCGAAACUGCAUUCGAUACUGCCGUGCUUGAGGACUGGAGAGGAGACUGGAAUUUACGGUGUAGCGGUGAAAUGCGUAGAUAUCGUAAGGAAGACCAGUGGCGAAGGCGGGUCUCUGGACAGUUCCUGACGCUGAGGCACGAAGGUCAGGGGAGCAAACGGG